RNAcentral lists this ribosomal RNA (465 nucleotides) under Vreelandella stevensii. RNAcentral's name for it is "partial 16S ribosomal RNA". It matches the Rfam family "Bacterial small subunit ribosomal RNA", at positions 338 to 795 of the family's 1533-position model. Lineage: Bacteria; Pseudomonadati; Pseudomonadota; Gammaproteobacteria; Oceanospirillales; Halomonadaceae. The record is from RNAcentral.
CCUACGGGCGGCAGCAGUGGGGAAUAUUGGACAAUGGGCGAAAGCCUGAUCCAGCCAUGCCGCGUGUGUGAAGAAGGCCUUCGGGUUGUAAAGCACUUUCAGUGGGGAAGAAAGCCUUGGGGCUAAUACCCUCGAGGAAGGACAUCACCCACAGAAGAAGCACCGGCUAACUCCGUGCCAGCAGCCGCGGUAAUACGGAGGGUGCGAGCGUUAAUCGGAAUUACUGAGCGUAAAGCGCGCGUAGGCGGUCUGAUAAGCCGGUUGUGAAAGCCCCGGGCUCAACCUGGGAACGGCAUCCGGAACUGUCAGGCUAGAGUGCAGGAGAGGAAGGUAGAAUUCCCGGUGUAGCGGUGAAAUGCGUAGAGAUCGGGAGGAAUACCAGUGGCGAAGGCGGCCUUCUGGACUGACACUGACGCUGAGGUGCGAAAGCGUGGGUAGCAAACAGGAUUAGAUACCCUGGUAGUC